Equus quagga is the source of this 439-nucleotide long non-coding RNA. RefSeq lists it as uncharacterized. The record is from RefSeq and is a predicted model, not a curated record. The transcript is spliced from 2 exons. Lineage: Eukaryota; Metazoa; Chordata; Mammalia; Perissodactyla; Equidae.
UGCUUCAGUGAACUGAGUGGGGUGUCCAAGAAGAAACCCUGGUGUUAGGAAGACGUCUAAGAAUGUUCCAAUGAUCCCCGCCUCCUGAUAGUCACACCUUUGGACUCUCUCCUGGCUUUAAUGAAGCAAGCUUCCAUGUUGGACAGGCCCACAGGAGAAGGAACUGAGGAUUGCCUCCAGCCAACUCCAGCCCACAGCCACCAGGAAUUGAGGAUCUCAGUCCAACAGGCCUUGAGGAGCUGCAUCCUGCCAACAGCUAUAUAAGUGAGCUCAGAACUAUGACCUUCUCCAGUUGAGCCUUCAGAUGAGACCCCUGCCCCAGCUGAUACCUUAAUUGCAGCCUUGUGAGAGACCCUGGAGCAGGGAACCCCGGUAGGCCUUGCCUGGACUCCUGACCCAGAAAAACUGUGAGUUAAUAAAUAUGUGUUUUUUUAAGCCA